RNAcentral lists this ribosomal RNA (601 nucleotides) under Erwinia rhapontici. Its description in RNAcentral is "bacterial SSU rRNA". It matches the Rfam family "Bacterial small subunit ribosomal RNA", at positions 915 to 1516 of the family's 1533-position model. The record is from RNAcentral. Lineage: Bacteria; Pseudomonadati; Pseudomonadota; Gammaproteobacteria; Enterobacterales; Erwiniaceae.
GGGGGCCCGCACAAGCGGUGGAGCAUGUGGUUUAAUUCGAUGCAACGCGAAGAACCUUACCUGGCCUUGACAUCCACGGAAUUCGGCAGAGAUGCCUUAGUGCCUUCGGGAACCGUGAGACAGGUGCUGCAUGGCUGUCGUCAGCUCGUGUUGUGAAAUGUUGGGUUAAGUCCCGCAACGAGCGCAACCCUUAUCCUUUGUUGCCAGCACGUAAUGGUGGGAACUCAAAGGAGACUGCCGGUGAUAAACCGGAGGAAGGUGGGGAUGACGUCAAGUCAUCAUGGCCCUUACGGCCAGGGCUACACACGUGCUACAAUGGCGCAUACAAAGAGAAGCGACCUCGCGAGAGCAAGCGGACCUCAUAAAGUGCGUCGUAGUCCGGAUCGGAGUCUGCAACUCGACUCCGUGAAGUCGGAAUCGCUAGUAAUCGUAGAUCAGAAUGCUACGGUGAAUACGUUCCCGGGCCUUGUACACACCGCCCGUCACACCAUGGGAGUGGGUUGCAAAAGAAGUAGGUAGCUUAACCUUCGGGAGGGCGCUUACCACUUUGUGAUUCAUGACUGGGGUGAAGUCGUAACAAGGUAACCGUAGGGAACCUGCG